CAAAAGGCCCUUUUCAGGGCCCCCCUCCAUUGUCUUAAUAAGGAGCU
Molecule: non-coding RNA, 47 nt
Organism: Monodelphis domestica (gray short-tailed opossum)
Lineage: Eukaryota; Metazoa; Chordata; Mammalia; Didelphimorphia; Didelphidae
Source: Rfam